AUUGAACGCUGGCGGCAGGCCUAACACAUGCAAGUCGAACGAGUGGCGGACGGGUGAGUAAUGUCUGGGAAACUGCCUGCUGGAGGGGGAUAACUACUGGAAACGGUAGCUAAUACCGCAUACCAUCAGAGGUGACACGAUUGGAUUAGCUUGUUGGUGGGGUAACGGCUCACCAAGGCGACGAUCCCUAGCUGGUCUGAGAGGAUGACCGGCCACACUGGAACUGAGACACGGUCCAGACGCCUACGGUAGGCAGCAGUGGGGAAUAUUGCACAAUGGGCGCAAGCCUGAUGCAGCCAUGCCGCGUGUAUGAAGAAGGCCUUCGGGUUGUAAAGUACUUUCAGCGGGGAGGCGUUACCCGCAGAAGAAGCACCGGCUAACUCCGUGCCAGCAGCCGCGGUAAUUC
RNAcentral lists this ribosomal RNA (406 nucleotides) under uncultured bacterium. Its description in RNAcentral is "partial 16S ribosomal RNA". It matches the Rfam family "Bacterial small subunit ribosomal RNA", at positions 30 to 526 of the family's 1533-position model. The record is from RNAcentral.